GUUUAUCUGUGCCAUCGGAUUUUGAAUUCGAAUUUGUAGCACUGAAUUUUUUUACAUCCAAUUUUUAACACUGAAUUUUUUUUGCAUCUAAAUCAGACUUUGAAUUUUAAAAGCCAUCGAAUUUCUAGCACUGAAUUUUUUUUUCCUAAGACAUUUUUUUCAAUGUCUCAAAAAAUUCAGUGUAAAAAAAUUCAAUGUCUUAAAAAAUUCAGUGUAAAAAAAUUCGACAUCUCAAAAAAUUCAAUGUAAAAAAAUUCAAUGUCUAAAAAAAUUCAGUGUAAAAAAAUUCGAUGUCUCCAAAAAUUCAGUGUAAAAAUAUUCAGCGCGGACAUCCGGGGUAACCAAGGGAGAAGUAAUCGAUCCCUGUAUCAAAUCAUCCAACGUUCAGCCAAUCAAGUUACGCUCCAUUGGUCAUGUGACGUCGAAACAGGAACGUCGUGAAGUUCAAAGGUGAGCUCCGGUCAGAGCUCAGGAUGGCCCAAAACACAAAUAAUAACGCUUCGGAACUCCUGCUUAAUCAUCUUUUAGAAAGACUUCGCUCUCGAUUGGAGCAUAUUCUGGGACGCAUGCCUCUUGAUCUGGACUUCUUAGAGUUCACUUGCACACAAGAACUUGUGUUAUUAAAUGCUGUAUCCAGUCAAGUAA
Long non-coding RNA from Syngnathus typhle (broad-nosed pipefish), 645 nucleotides. RefSeq lists it as uncharacterized. NCBI's taxonomy places the organism in Eukaryota, Metazoa, Chordata, Actinopteri, Syngnathiformes, Syngnathidae. The record is from RefSeq and is a predicted model, not a curated record. The transcript has 2 exons.